UACGAAGGGGGCUAGCGUUGCUCGGCAUCACUGGGCGUAAAGCGCACGUAGGCGGAUUGCUAAGUCAGGGGUGAAAUCCUGGAGCUCAACUCCAGAACUGCCUUUGAUACUGGCGAUCUCGAGUCCGGGAGAGGUGAGUGGAACUGCGAGUGUAGAGGUGAAAUUCGUAGAUAUUCGCAAGAACACCAGUGGCGAAGGCGGCUCACUGGCCCGGUACUGACGCUGAGGUGCGAAAGCGUGGGGAGCAAACAGG
Molecule: ribosomal RNA, 253 nt
Filed under: uncultured bacterium
Lineage: Bacteria
Description: partial 16S ribosomal RNA
Rfam family: Bacterial small subunit ribosomal RNA
Source: RNAcentral